Microstroma glucosiphilum is the source of this 88-nucleotide non-coding RNA. Lineage: Eukaryota; Fungi; Basidiomycota; Exobasidiomycetes; Microstromatales; Microstromataceae. The record is from the annotation of a RefSeq genome assembly.
GGUUUCGUAACUCAGUUGGUUAGAGUGUCAGCUUUACAGAUUACUCUUUGGACGCUGAAAGUCGUCGGUUCGAUCCCGACCGAAGCCA